Molecule: non-coding RNA, 1743 nt
Organism: Podarcis lilfordi (Lilford's wall lizard)
Lineage: Eukaryota; Metazoa; Chordata; Lepidosauria; Squamata; Lacertidae
Source: the annotation of a GenBank genome assembly
GGGAAUUUCCACCUGCAAGAUAAAACUGUGAGAAUCUGGGAUUGACCUUGGACCGUUAAGAAUGUUGACAGAAGAAGCCUUAGUGGUUGCAUUAUGUAAGAUUAAUGAUUCACUGGAACAGCUCCAUAAGAAGACGGAUGCGAGGACUAUAAAAAUUGAUAACUUGGAACAAAAAGUGACUAAUUUGGGACAAAAAGUGAAUAUUAACACAGAAAUUAUCCAGGAAUUGAUACAGGGAUCUAUUUUGACAUGGCAAAUUGAGGAGAAGGCGGGGAGAAAGUUGUGGUUGUGGAACCUAAAGUUGCACAAGUGGAGAGGAGAGAGCCCCAGCCUUACAGAUGCAAUUUGACGAUUAUAAGUUGAUGCCUUUUAAGACUGAAUUCAGAGAAAGUCAGACUUUGAGGAUUGGAGCCCUGCUUGGACUGGAGAAGGAAAGUUGGAUAGAUCCCUUCAUGCAGGGAUUUAUUGACUUUUGGCACCUGGACUUGGGUCAGGAGGAGACUGGAGUUGUGGGGACCGCCAGACUCGGAGGAACUUUGAAACACGACUGGAAAUAUCUUUUGAAUUUCAGUUUUAACUAUGGAGAUUUGGCUGACUUGUCGAGAAGGAAUAAAAACAUUGCUAGAUGGGAAUUUCCCCGAGAUCUACUUUUCAGCAUCAAAGGAAGGAAAAUAAGAACAAGAUCAGGAGAAGACAAAGUAAAGUGCAUGUAUAAACAUGAAGAAGACUUGCAGAAGGGACUUGGAAAAGAGUUAAGAGCCACGGACAGAAGAUCACCAGGUUGAUGGGCUAUAUGGAAUUGACGGAAAUACUGAAGAAACCAGAGGCCUUUCUCCUGGGCAUGGUCGGCCAAUUGGUGCAAAAAAAGGACAGAACUUUCUUUAUGUAUGCUACAACAGCAGCAAGAAUACUCAUCGCGAAGUAUUGGAAGACACAAGAUCUACCCACCCGGGAAGAAUGGCAGAUGAAGGUGAUGGACUACAUGGAACUGGCGGAAAUGACUGGCAGAAUCCGAGACCAGGGAGAAGAGUUGGUGGAAGAAGAUUGGAAGAAAUUUAAAGUUUAUUUACAGAAACAUUGUAAAAUUAAGGAAUGUUAGAAGGAUGUUGGAAUGAAGUAAUGUUGUUUUAGCAGAAAUGCUAUAAAGGAUUAAGAAAAAAUAGAUUGUUAAAUGGGGAAAGGAGGGAAAGUAAAGUUACAAUAUAUUAAGAUAAAAUAGAGGACAAAAAUUGGAAAAGAUGGAAAGGACUUGCUGAAAUAGCUAACUGAACUAGAAGACAAAAAAGGGAGGUGUGAGGAGGUCAAGGAAACAAGCAAAUGAAAGAUAAAUUAUGGGAAGAUUUAUUGUGUAUAUAUAUAUAUAUAUUUCUUUUUCUUUUUCUUUAUUGUGAUAUGAUGUUCUGUUUUUCUGUUUAAUAUGCUGUUUUCUAAUGAGUGUUAGAAAAAUGUUGGAAGGGAAUUAUACGGCUUUAGUAGAAAUGUUGUAAGGAAUUAAGUAUAAAUAAGUAUCAUAGUAUUAAUGGAAAACAAGGUUAAAAUAUGUUAAGAUAAUCACAUGACAGAAAAUAGAGAAAGAUGGAAAGGAUUUGCUGAAAUAAUUAAUAGAAAUGGAAUACAAAAAGGGAGGUGAGAGGAGGUCGAUGAAACAAGGGGAUGAAAGAGAGGAUAUUGAGAUGGUAUGAUGUAUGUUUUUUGAACUGUUUUUGCUUUCGUUUUGUUUAACGUGUUAAUGUUAAUGUUGUG